RNAcentral lists this long non-coding RNA (1296 nucleotides) under Vigna radiata. Its description in RNAcentral is "long non-coding RNA (VRAD_LNC008581)". Lineage: Eukaryota; Viridiplantae; Streptophyta; Magnoliopsida; Fabales; Fabaceae. The record is from RNAcentral.
UUGCAAUUAUCACAAUUCUAAUAAUCUUACAAUUAAAUUUAAUUUAUUAAUUUAAAGAAAUAGACUUAUAUAAUUAAAUUAGGCGCUCUUAUUUCAAAAGACUUUUCCUCUUAUUGAAAAAAAUAAAAUAAAAUCAAAAGAAUGGAAAGGUGUGAGUAAUUAUGAAGGUGUAAAGAAUGAAGAAGGUGCAUAAAAGACUGGUCCAGGCCUAGACGUUCAUGCUUCUCCUCUAUAAUAAGGUACAGAGAUUAAAUUGGAGGGUGUACGAAGUAACCCAGUCCAUUUUUACCUUGAGACCUUAAGGCUCUUCUUCACACACAACUACCACACCGUCUCCCUAAUGCAACGGCGCCGCCUCCGUUCUCGCCGGAUUCCGUUUCUGGCGACGACGCCGGCGUCACCAGUGGCGCUCCCCCUUCAUCCUUCUUCUCACGUAAACCAUCUUUGGUCAUUCUGUCGUUCACCGCCGCCGCUCAAAUCUCGCCAACUCGAACCCACGUCGUUGACGGCGGUAGUGCUUAUGACCUCGCCGGCACCGCUGUCAGCUCCCUCCCUUUCUUCCUUCUAUUUUUCCAUCUGGUGAGAGAGGUUUUGCUCUCCCUUCUUCAUUCUUCCCAAAUCUGGUUCCCGAUGGAGGACCUAGCGAAGCUCUACUGUAUCACCACCAUCCUCUACCGGUCAGAGUAGUCGUAGGUCUUGCUAUUUCGGUUGGAGGUGUCGCCGUCCGACAGAAGCUCGUCACCGUCCGGCGUCCAUUGUCUAUCAAGAGCUGAUGUGUGGUGUGAUGUAAAAUAGAGGUUUCAUCUUCCCUUUCCUCUGCUAUUUUUUUAUUUUCCAUUUUGGAUUAGUUGUUAUUUGUGUUUUUUCGUUUUGCUUUGGGAUGAAGAAGGUAGUAAUGUAUUUUUGAUGUGAUGAUAGAUCUGUUAUUUGUUGUUUGUAGGUGAAUGGAAGAUUGUUUGUAUGGUGAUUUGAGAUAAAAGGUGAAUAAGAAUGUGAUAAUUUUUGUGUUGGGUCUGUUAUUGGAGUGCAGAGAAUAUGAAAAUGGUGACAGAGAAGAUGAAGAUUAGAAUGGUAUUGUAGGGGCUGGAUGACGUCUUCGUCUGUUGAUUUCUGUUUUCAGUCACCUUAGUCUAUGUUUUAUGUUCAUGUUACAACAAUUGUGGGUGGUUGUGACACGAGGGAAAUAAUAAUAAUUUAGUAUUUACCUAAUGCAUUAUUAUUAUUAUUAUUAUUAUUAUUAUUAUUAUUAUUAUUAUUAUUAUUAUUAUUAUUAUUAUUAUUAUUAUUAUUUUAGAG